Molecule: ribosomal RNA, 423 nt
Filed under: uncultured bacterium
Lineage: Bacteria
Description: partial 16S ribosomal RNA
Rfam family: Bacterial small subunit ribosomal RNA
Source: RNAcentral
GAAUUUUGGACAAUGGGCGAAAGCCUGAUCCAGCAAUGCCGCGUGCAGGAUGAAGGCCUUCGGGUUGUAAACUGCUUUUGUACGGAACGCAAAGCUUUGGGUUCAUACCCUGGAGUCAUUACGGUACCGUAAGAAUAAGCACCGGCUACCUACGUGCCAGCAGCCGAGGUAAUAAGUAGGGUGCAAGCGUUAAUCGGAAUUAUUGGGCGUAAAGGUUGAGGAGGGGGUUGUGAAAUGAAAAGGUGAAAUCCCGGGGACAAACCUGGGAAAUGCCGUGGGGAAGGAAAGGGUAGAGGACGGCAGAGGGGGGUGGAAGUGCGGGUGUAACAGUGAAAUGCGUAGAUAUGCGGAGGAACACCGAUGGCGAAGGCAACCCCCUGGGCAUGUACUGACGCUCAUGCACGAAAGCGUGGGGAGAAAACA